CGCGUAGGUGGGAUAGCAAGUCUGAGGUGCAAUCUUACGGCUUAACUGUAAGCUUGCCUUGGAUACUACUAUUCUUGAGUUCGGGAGAGGGUAGUGGAAUUCCUGGUGUAGCGGUGAAAUGCGUAGAUAUCAGGAAGAACACCGGUGGCGAAGGCGGCUACCUGGCCCGAUACUGACACUGAGGCGCGAAAGUGCGGGGAGCAAACA
RNAcentral lists this ribosomal RNA (207 nucleotides) under uncultured bacterium. RNAcentral describes it as "partial 16S ribosomal RNA". It matches the Rfam family "Bacterial small subunit ribosomal RNA", at positions 568 to 774 of the family's 1533-position model. The record is from RNAcentral.